This 997-nucleotide unclassified non-coding RNA is filed under the name Hevea brasiliensis (rubber tree). Lineage: Eukaryota; Viridiplantae; Streptophyta; Magnoliopsida; Malpighiales; Euphorbiaceae. The record is from RNAcentral.
UACCUCCUUGUUUUCUUCUUUUCCUUGUACCGUGAAAUUGCAGAGUCCCUCUCCUGGCUGUUUAACUCAUGGGAUCCAACUUUAGAAAAAACUGAUAUCAUCCUAGUAGAGAGAGGAAAUUGCGGUUCCUCUUCUUCCCUUCCAUUGGCACGAUUCACACUUCCACCAAUAUUGGGCUGCUUGUCAGGAAGAACAGAACUUUCCUUACUUCUCAGUAAUGGAGAAGGAUCACAAACUUGAUUUCCAGCCUCACCAGUAUCACUAAUCCAGUGAAAUACAUUUUCCUGUACAACGGGUAAGAAUUCGUCAUGCUGAUCCAUAGAAGCUAAAAUGAAAGAACUAAGCAAAUAACAAACUCUCUACUGACUGAGCCAGUCAGUUACUAAUAUAUAAAUAAAGAACUCUAGCCAAUACCAUCAACGAGUCAAUUCUGAGCAUUGGAAGCUUGAAAGCAACAAAGAAAAGUACAAUAUACAUUAGAUACUUGAUUAAAUGUGAGGUAUAAUGUAUUAGCAUGAACUCUGAUCUGAUACAUAAUUCAAACCCAAGAAACCAAGAAAUAUUCAUUCUUUUACAAAAAAAGAGCCAUUCUUGGGCAGUGGCAUCAAUUGUCAAAAGUUCAAGUCAUAUUGAAUGGUCUUAGUGGCCGAGAAUAACAGGAUGAGGUAGGUGCUGAAGGAUAUCAGAUGAUACAUAUUCAUGGACCUGUGUGGACAGCGGGUGGUUGUAUAUACUGGCUCAUAAAAUGUCUCUCUUCCUUUACAACCCUAGAGCCCUUAAUCUGGUAAUAGACUAGAGUGUCUAACCACCAAGCAGACCAAUGAAAUUGCUGUGCCCAUGAAUCAUCAUUCAAGUGACCAGACAAUAAUGGACAGCACACAGUUCAAAUUUUAAACACACUCGACAUCAGAAUGCUCACAUGUUAUCACAUAUUAAAUAUGCAAUUUAGAAAACAAGGGAGAUCACUUUAAUAAAACCUAAACAGGAAAGAAGCUUA